GGUCUAAGCAUGAUCUGUUUCUGUUGUUCUGAUGAAGGAAGCUUGUGUUGGGGAGGAUUCAGUGUCUGUUGAGGCACAUGUGAAUGUGCUACAAAGUGAGUAUCAGAAAACACAUCAAGACCCCUCGACAGUCAAAGACCACACGGCAGGAACAUACUCCUGGAGACGCUGAGAAAGCACGGAAGGAAUAUCUGAGGAGGAUGUACUCAAAAAAUACACAUACUUAAAGAGACCUGCUGGAGUGAGUAUAUUAAAGAAAAAAACUCAUCAACUGUAAAAUAUCUUGUUUCAAAUAUUUUCAGAUAAUAUUUUAUUCUUCUGUACCUUUUUAGCCCAUCUGUUAAAAAUGUAAAGCAAUAGUUUUAGAAAACAAUGUAAGAUUUAUCAGUGUAUACAAGAACAUGAAAUGCAUCGUAUUGUGAACCUUAUACAUUACCUUCUGAUUGUUUCUGCAGUUCUGCAGUGUAUGUAGCUACACCGUCUGAGCCAAAGAGGAUGCAACAGAAUCUGAUGAAUCUGAAAAGUGUUUUCUUUUUUUCUUGUUAUUAUUAUUAUUGUUGUUAUUAUUCUUUUUAUUUAUUUAUUUUAUGAAAGGGGGACCUGGCUACACCUUUCCUAGCAUACACCUGAUGGAUACUGACUGUAAAAUGUCAAUCAUAGGAGGAGGGCUCAGUGUGGUGACAGAAGAUGGAACAGAUGUGUGUCAUGCUACCGACUUUCCUUCAGAGGCACAUUGUCAACAUUAGAAGAUGGAGACAAACACUGUAUGGUUGACUGGAAGUCUGUCAGUCCAGAUGUGAGGAAGACACACAGAGUGGAGCUGGAGCUCAGCAGAUGUGAGAUGGAUGUAGAUACUGUGGUCUUGGAAAGAAGAGCAUCUUCAAAGCUUUCUAUUCAGACAAAGAGUUUGCUGGAUUCUGUUCUAUGGACUGCUACUACAGAAUGAAUUAAUGAAUGAGUGGUUUAUCUAUCUAUCUAUCUAUCUAUCUAUCUAUCUAUCUAUCUAUCUAUCUAUCUAUCUAUCUAUCUAUCUAUCUAUCUAUCUAUCUAUCUAUCUAUCUAUCUAUCUUUUUACUUGAAUUGGUGACUGAAACUGAAAGCUAAAUAAAUGUUUUAGUGGAUAAAGCUGUGUCUGUUUGCUUAAUUGGUUAAUGUCACUUAAAACAAGGUUACUAAACUCU
Molecule: long non-coding RNA, 1181 nt
Organism: Carassius carassius (crucian carp)
Lineage: Eukaryota; Metazoa; Chordata; Actinopteri; Cypriniformes; Cyprinidae
Exons: 3
Source: RefSeq, a predicted model, not a curated record